UUAUUUUGAAAGCUUCAAGGAGGACAAACUCUUUGGUGAUUGAUGUUUAUAGCUGGCUUGGUAUGUACUCAAGGCCUUCUGCAUAAAGGUGGUUGAUCUUAAUCAGCCCUGCCUUCUCCAUUCCAGAAUGCUCCAGGUAAUAUUCUUUGGAGGAAUUCAGUAUGUGAACAAUGGUCAGUUUUUAUCGAUGUGAUAAUUUUCUGCCAUUAUGAAGCAAUGUCUAUCGACCUUUGGGUCUCACAGAUGUGAGAUCAUGGAGCAUUCAGCACAUAGUAGGAGCCAAAUGUUUAUAUGACCGAGAUAUUCAAAUUAUGUAGAAUAAGACAAAUAAAAGAUGGACAACUGGAUCAGUACUUGCAUGUAGGAUAACUCCCAAGUUUAUGCACCUUUGUAUCUGGGUGUGAAUCUGGCGGAAGUCAGGUUUGACCAACUAUCCUUGG
RNAcentral lists this long non-coding RNA (440 nucleotides) under Callithrix jacchus (white-tufted-ear marmoset). RNAcentral describes it as "lncRNA (ENSCJAG00000083887.1)". The record is from RNAcentral. Lineage: Eukaryota; Metazoa; Chordata; Mammalia; Primates; Cebidae.